Molecule: small nucleolar RNA, 75 nt
Organism: Manis pentadactyla (Chinese pangolin)
Lineage: Eukaryota; Metazoa; Chordata; Mammalia; Pholidota; Manidae
Product: small nucleolar RNA SNORD113/SNORD114 family
Exons: 1
Source: RefSeq, a predicted model, not a curated record
UGAACUGAUGAUGAUUAUUGGUCAUGUAUGAGUCCUGGAUGAUGAAUACUAUUGGUCUGAAACUCUGAGGUCCAA